RNAcentral lists this ribosomal RNA (253 nucleotides) under uncultured bacterium. RNAcentral's name for it is "partial 16S ribosomal RNA". It matches the Rfam family "Bacterial small subunit ribosomal RNA", at positions 524 to 776 of the family's 1533-position model. The record is from RNAcentral.
UACGUAGGGGGCAAGCGUUGUCCGGAUUUAUUGGGCGUAAAGAGCGUGUAGGCGGCCAGGUAGGUCCGUUGUGAAAACUCGAGGCUCAACCUCGAGACGCCGAUGGAAACCAUCUGGCUAGAGUCCGGAAGAGGAGAGUGGAAUUCCUGGUGUAGCAGUGAAAUGCGUAGAUAUCAGGAGGAAUACCGAUGGCGAAGGCAGGUCUCUGGGCUGACACUGACGCUCAUGCACGAAAGCGUGGGGAGCAAACAGG